RNAcentral lists this long non-coding RNA (671 nucleotides) under Fukomys damarensis (Damara mole-rat). RNAcentral's name for it is "lncRNA (ENSFDAG00000027038.1)". The record is from RNAcentral. Lineage: Eukaryota; Metazoa; Chordata; Mammalia; Rodentia; Bathyergidae.
GUUUCUGGAUGUUCGAUGUGAUAGAAGGUGGGAAUUUUUAUUGAGUUAGGGAAAACUUGAAAAGGACCAGGUUUGGAGUAGAAGAACAUCGGCGCAGCCAUUGAAACAUCCAAGUGGAGACAUCAAGGAGGCAGACACAUAUGCGCGUACACAUAGAGGACCUCCCAAGAGAGAUGGAAAUGCCAGUUUUAAGAUUCAGCUCUGCUUAAACAGCCCAACCCCACGGCUUCCUAAGCACAGGACACACAAAUGGGAUCCCACUGCAAACUCCACCUCUGACCAGCCUGCAUUGUAUCAUAGGAAAGGUCACAAUCCCUGGUCUCUUCAGGGAUCCACACUUACAAAGAGAAUCUCAAAGGGGCUGGGUUCGUGGCAAGGACUGAUGAGGACACUGGGCAACUCUCCUUCUCUGUACAUCUGGAAUUAGGACAAGCUGCCUGCUACUGGGACCAUGCUACUCUGAAGACCACCCACCCAUAAUACUUGCAGGGUCCAAAGCAAAAGCACGAAUGGAGGUCUAUAUACCAUGUGUCUACUUAUUAAAAAGUUAUAAAUCAACGUGGCAAAGAAGGAAAUAAAUAUAUUCUAAACAUUUUCUAUCAUCCAGCCUUGACAAAUACGCCUUCAUAACAACCCACUAGUCAAUUUUCACCUAGAAUUCAGACCCUUUG